Xenia sp. Carnegie-2017 is the source of this 275-nucleotide long non-coding RNA. RefSeq lists it as uncharacterized. Lineage: Eukaryota; Metazoa; Cnidaria; Anthozoa; Malacalcyonacea; Xeniidae. The record is from RefSeq and is a predicted model, not a curated record. The transcript is spliced from 2 exons.
AAACCUUUGGAUUUAUCGAAGUCUUUGUGAUAUGUAAGUUAGGAAAGGUGUAUGCUAACCGAGGAAAUCGACCUUCUUUCUCAAGUUUCCACUGAUCUCGAGUUCUCGUAAACGUCUCUGAGGUUCGCAUAAACCAAGGCAAACAUGAAGAAUAUCUUUCAUUUCAUUUAUAAAAUAACAACCGUGCGAAGAAGAUAAAUUUAAAACAAAUGUUUUAAUUCUUUCCUGUAACGUGUAUAGAUGAUUGAUUUGUAAGUUCUCUUUGAUUGAUUUAA